UUCCUUUUUAUUUUAUUUUACUUUAUCCGAAAUUAAUUGGAACUCAAAAGAACCAUUUAUGAGGAAUAUUGUGUUUUUUUUUGUCAUCCGAAAUAAAUUAGAGCUCAAAAGAGUCAUUUCUAAGGAAUGUUGUUUUACAUAAGUGAUAUGAUGCGGUUGGACACGAAUUUUACGCACCAAAAUAUCCGCUUUGACAUUUGCACUAGUAAAAAUUAAAGAUAAAGAAAAACUUGUGAAUUCUUUAGGAAUGAUCGAAAAGAAAUAUGGCGUAGGGUAAAUGUGAAAAUAA
This 289-nucleotide small RNA is filed under the name Arabidopsis thaliana (thale cress). Its description in RNAcentral is "ATSL168950". Lineage: Eukaryota; Viridiplantae; Streptophyta; Magnoliopsida; Brassicales; Brassicaceae. The record is from RNAcentral.